CUGGUAUUGCAGUACCUCCAGGAACG
This 26-nucleotide non-coding RNA is filed under the name Cricetulus griseus (Chinese hamster). The record is from RNAcentral. Lineage: Eukaryota; Metazoa; Chordata; Mammalia; Rodentia; Cricetidae. RNAcentral also lists the same sequence under 1 other name.